Molecule: transfer RNA, 75 nt
Filed under: Azorhizobium caulinodans
Lineage: Bacteria; Pseudomonadati; Pseudomonadota; Alphaproteobacteria; Hyphomicrobiales; Xanthobacteraceae
Also listed under: 1619 other names
Description: tRNA-Gly
Rfam family: tRNA
About the family: Transfer RNA (tRNA) molecules are approximately 80 nucleotides in length. Their secondary structure includes four short double-helical elements and three loops (D, anti-codon, and T loops). Further hydrogen bonds mediate the characteristic L-shaped molecular structure. tRNAs have two regions of fundamental functional importance: the anti-codon, which is responsible for specific mRNA codon recognition, and the 3' end, to which the tRNAs corresponding amino acid is attached (by aminoacyl-tRNA synthetases). tRNAs cope with the degeneracy of the genetic code in two manners: having more than one tRNA (with a specific anti-codon) for a particular amino acid; and 'wobble' base-pairing, i.e. permitting non-standard base-pairing at the 3rd anti-codon position.
Source: RNAcentral
GCGGGUGUAGCUCAGGGGUAGAGCACAACCUUGCCAAGGUUGGGGUCGAGGGUUCGAAUCCCUUCGCCCGCUCCA